Electrophorus electricus (electric eel) is the source of this 639-nucleotide long non-coding RNA. RefSeq lists it as uncharacterized. Lineage: Eukaryota; Metazoa; Chordata; Actinopteri; Gymnotiformes; Gymnotidae. The record is from RefSeq and is a predicted model, not a curated record.
CAAGGCGUUCACACGAGACGCAGCCAGUAACAACGCGGCCUUUUCUGCUCAAACCGCUUCUUAUCGCUUUCAUUUUCCGGCAGCACGCGGCCAGGGACGUGUGAUGUGACUUUUAGAUCAGGUGGGCCAGUCAGACGCCUGCGAGUCUGCCUGCCGCUCGAGGACGCAGUUAGCCACACGGCCUAAGGAUGGGCAGGCCUGAACCGCGCGGGCGAGCAGCGCGGUGGGCCCACGCACGGGAAUCACGGCUGGCGUGCUAUUUUGGCAUGAGCGCCGCCUCAUGCUUCACCUCACAGGCCUAUGCCAGCGCCGAGCUCCCUGCAGAGCGUGGAUCCGGGUUUAAAUUGUAACAACCCGUCUGACUAAACAUGAGAUAGGAAGCACCAGAGAGUUAGGCUAUGGAAGGCGCCGAACUACCCAGGACCACAGCCAUCCAGGCAGGUGGGAAGCAUGAGAAAUCUGUAUCUGAAGGCCACAUAUUUAGUGCAUCACUGAGUGGAAGCUGAACCUUGAAGAACAGACCCGCUGCGGCAUUAUCCAGAGGCGAUUUUUUUUUCCAGGUGUCUGAGCCAUCUGUGAUAAAUCUGUGUAUCUUCAGCAGCCUGUUUCAAAACACUCAGGUGACAUUGCCAAGGUGAC